RNAcentral lists this long non-coding RNA (613 nucleotides) under Ananas comosus (pineapple). Its description in RNAcentral is "long non-coding RNA (ACOM_LNC032075)". The record is from RNAcentral. Lineage: Eukaryota; Viridiplantae; Streptophyta; Magnoliopsida; Poales; Bromeliaceae.
AGUUCUGUUUGUUAGAGAAAAUACCGCACUGACAAUUCUAUGGUGGUUAAGAUCUAACUAAUUUUGUGAUAAAGAUAAAGUCGAACUUACAAAUAAACGCAAACAUUAAAAUAAAGAUUUGAUCUUAUGCGAAAGCAUGCGAGGUAUUGCGCUAAGACGUAUUCACGUUCUUACGUGCGGGAUUAACCGGAAACAACUCCCCAAGAUACGACCGAAAUUUUUCCUCUUGCGAGCACAAUCGUAAAGAAAGUUAACGGAGAUUCUUUCAACACCCAAUGAAUAAGAAAAAUAUUCAAAUAAUGAAAAAUAAAAGAAUUAAUGAAUAAGAAUUAACAAAUUAUCUAAUAUCUUUAUGUCUAUUCUCACUAAACAGAGAAGGAAAAGAGGAAGAAAUUUCCUCUUUUUUUUUAAAAAAGCGGACCAGGAUUCUGUUUAGCUCAAAACGAAACAGAAGAAUAUUCCAUUGGUUUCUUUUUCACUAAAAAAAAUAUAUAAAUAAGAUUAAAUAAAUAAAAUAAUAAAAAUAAUAAAUAAUAAAUAACGAUAAAUAUUAAAUAAAUAAUUCAAAAUUUAAUAAAUAAAAUUUAAAUUUUAAAAUUUUGAAAAUUUCACC